GCUUUAAUUAUGUUCAAUUUGUAACAAUGAAAUUGGGGGUCACCACAACAUAAGGAACUGUAUUAAAGGGUCGCGGCAUUAAGAAGGUUGAGAACCACUGGGAAAGAGUGUGCUGCUCUGUUUUUAAACUUUGACUGAGAUUACCAAGUGGAUUAAGUUAAUCUUACACUAGCUCUAUUGUGUUUAGCCAUACAAGGCCAUAAGGGAUUGUUAUGUUGGGUUAUUAGGGCAAAAAAAUAGUGAACAAUAGUUUGUACAUGGUAGAACUGCUAAGAUCUACCCCUUUAUCCUGCUGUUACUACAAAGAACUUAGUUAACAAAUAUGGCUCUAUUUCACUUAGGAUGAAUUUCAGUAGAACAGGUAUCAUUAAGAUAUAAGCGACCUCUUGGGAAAGAAUAUCAUGCGGAAGAGGGGUAAAGGUACUAGAGCUUAGCAAGUGACUGUAGCAUUCUGGUAUGGAAUAUAUUGAUCUGCAUUUUUCACUGUUCAUUUACUAUCAUGAGAUAAUUCAUUUUGUCUUGAAGGCUAUUUUAUUUGGUUUUCUGGUAUAUAUUUUUGAAAAUAUUUUUGUUCCCAUUUUGAUUUUAGAGAGAGGAAGGGAGGAGGGAAAGAGAGGGAGAGAAACACUGAUGUGAGAGAAAAAUACUGAUUGGUUGCUUCCCGCCUACACCCAACCAACCUGCUACCUGGCACAUGCUCUGACUGGGAAUCAAACCAGUGACCUUUUGGUGCAUGGGUUGAUGCUCAACCAAUUGAGCCACACCAACUCGGGCAGUUUUCUGGUUGAUGUUUUAAAAAUCUGACUUAUCUCAAAGGGCACAAAUGGAAAUACUUGUGGGUAUUACUUUUAACAUUUCCCCAUCUAUAUAUCUUUUUUAAAUUUGUGCAGCUAUCACCAUUAAUUCCAGAAUACUUUAUCACCCCAGAAGGAAAACCUAUAAUCAUUAGUAUGCUUAUUUUAAAUCCUCUCCCCUUUCUCACCCUCCAAAUCCUCUCCCAUCUUGCAACCAUCAAAAUGUUAUCUAAAAAGUAUACUCUUGCCCUCGCCAUAUUUGCUAAGUGGUUAGAGCAUUGGCCUGCCCACAAAAGGGUUGUGGGUUUGGUUCCCAGUCAAGGGCAUGUACCUGAGUUGCUGGUUUGCUCCCUGGUCCUGGUCGGCAGCCCGUGUGGGAGGCAACCAAUUGAGGUGUCUCUCUCACAUUGGCAUUUCUCUUUCUCUCCUUAUCCCCUCCCUUCCACUCUCUGAAAAGCAAUGGAAAAAAAUACCCUCAUGUGAGGAUUAAAAAAAAAAAGUACUCUUCAGGUAUUUGGGGAUUGAUAAGUAAUGGAAUAUAUGUCAGUUAAAUCCUAAAUUCCACAAUAAAAAUUAUAUCCAUAAAAUUAAAA
Long non-coding RNA from Myotis lucifugus (little brown bat), 1387 nucleotides. RefSeq lists it as uncharacterized. The transcript is spliced from 2 exons. NCBI's taxonomy places the organism in Eukaryota, Metazoa, Chordata, Mammalia, Chiroptera, Vespertilionidae. The record is from RefSeq and is a predicted model, not a curated record.